RNAcentral lists this ribosomal RNA (248 nucleotides) under uncultured bacterium. RNAcentral's name for it is "partial 16S ribosomal RNA". It matches the Rfam family "Bacterial small subunit ribosomal RNA", at positions 15 to 244 of the family's 1533-position model. The record is from RNAcentral.
GAUCCUGGCUCAGGACGAACGCUGGCGGCGUGCCUAACACAUGCAAGUCGAACGGAGCUAAUUAAAGGAAGUUUUCGGAUGGAAUUUAGCUAGCUUAGUGGCGGACGGGUGAGUAACGCGUGAGCAACCUGCCUUUCAGAGGGGGAUAACGUCUUGAAAAGGACGCUAAUACCGCAUAACAUUAACACACCGCAUGGAGUGAUAAUCAAAGGAGCAAUCCGCUGAAAGAUGGGCUCGCGUCCGAUUAG